This 127-nucleotide small RNA is filed under the name Marmota monax (woodchuck). Lineage: Eukaryota; Metazoa; Chordata; Mammalia; Rodentia; Sciuridae. The record is from RNAcentral.
GCCAGGCGCAGUGGUGCAGGCCUGUAAUCCCAGCAUCUUGGGAGGCUGAGGCAGGAAGAUCUUGAGCUCAAAGUCAGCCUUAGCAACUUAGUGAGGCCCUCAGCAACUCAGCGAGACCCUGUCUCUA